RNAcentral lists this ribosomal RNA (1134 nucleotides) under Enterococcus faecium. Its description in RNAcentral is "bacterial SSU rRNA". It matches the Rfam family "Bacterial small subunit ribosomal RNA", at positions 35 to 1142 of the family's 1533-position model. The record is from RNAcentral. Lineage: Bacteria; Bacillati; Bacillota; Bacilli; Lactobacillales; Enterococcaceae.
GACUGGCGGCGUGCUAUACAUGCAAGUCGAACGCUUCUUUUUCCACCGGAGCUUGCUCCACCGGAAAAAGAGGAGUGGCGAACGGGUGAGUAACACGUGGGUAACCUGCCCAUCAGAAGGGGAUAACACUUGGAAACAGGUGCUAAUACCGUAUAACAAUCAAAACCGCAUGGUUUUGAUUUGAAAGGCGCUUUCGGGUGUCGCUGAUGGAUGGACCCGCGGUGCAUUAGCUAGUUGGUGAGGUAACGGCUCACCAAGGCCACGAUGCAUAGCCGACCUGAGAGGGUGAUCGGCCACAUUGGGACUGAGACACGGCCCAAACUCCUACGGGAGGCAGCAGUAGGGAAUCUUCGGCAAUGGACGAAAGUCUGACCGAGCAACGCCGCGUGAGUGAAGAAGGUUUUCGGAUCGUAAAACUCUGUUGUUAGAGAAGAACAAGGAUGAGAGUAACUGUUCAUCCCUUGACGGUAUCUAACCAGAAAGCCACGGCUAACUACGUGCCAGCAGCCGCGGUAAUACGUAGGUGGCAAGCGUUGUCCGGAUUUAUUGGGCGUAAAGCGAGCGCAGGCGGUUUCUUAAGUCUGAUGUGAAAGCCCCCGGCUCAACCGGGGAGGGUCAUUGGAAACUGGGAGACUUGAGUGCAGAAGAGGAGAGUGGAAUUCCAUGUGUAGCGGUGAAAUGCGUAGAUAUAUGGAGGAACACCAGUGGCGAAGGCGGCUCUCUGGUCUGUAACUGACGCUGAGGCUCGAAAGCGUGGGGAGCAAACAGGAUUAGAUACCCUGGUAGUCCACGCCGUAAACGAUGAGUGCUAAGUGUUGGAGGGUUUCCGCCCUUCAGUGCUGCAGCUAACGCAUUAAGCACUCCGCCUGGGGAGUACGACCGCAAGGUUGAAACUCAAAGGAAUUGACGGGGGCCCGCACAAGCGGUGGAGCAUGUGGUUUAAUUCGAAGCAACGCGAAGAACCUUACCAGGUCUUGACAUCCUUUGACCACUCUAGAGAUAGAGCUUCCCCUUCGGGGGCAAAGUGACAGGUGGUGCAUGGUUGUCGUCAGCUCGUGUCGUGAGAUGUUGGGUUAAGUCCCGCAACGAGCGCAACCCUUAUUGUUAGUUGCCAUCAUUCAGUUGGGCACUCUA